Molecule: long non-coding RNA, 2078 nt
Organism: Mauremys reevesii (Reeves's turtle)
Lineage: Eukaryota; Metazoa; Chordata; Testudines; Geoemydidae
Exons: 3
Source: RefSeq, a predicted model, not a curated record
UGCAGCUGCCAGUUGCUCCUGCAAAAUGGGAAGUUGGAGCUUAGCUCUUUUUCAGAAGUUAACUCAAAGAGCAGACCAGCAGAUGAUUGAAAUCAAUGGACCUAAGCUGAUUUACACAAGCUAAGGAUCUGACCAACUGUAAUAAGAGCGGCAUACAGCUGAUCUAAACUGGGGCAGCGCAUCUCUGGAAGUUGUCUUUCCAUGGAGAACUCGUUAAAGUGCUUUUUAUGGAGAUCUUCCCUCAGAAUGUCCGAUCAGGUGUGCCAAAUUCUUCUCCUCCUCUUUCAUCAUCUCUCCAGUGAGAAGGAAGAGUCCUCUUCAUGGGAAAUAGAUGUUACUAUCCCCAGCUGCUGCCUAAGCCUACAUGAUUGUCAGCUAAACGUUAAGAGAUGCAAAAACUGCUUCCAGCCAAGACAAUCAUAGCAUGAAUCCUAUCUGUUUGGUCAGCUGGAGGCUUCCUCAUAGGUCUCCUGGCUGCACUGCUACAUCAAAGGAAAUAUGCUAACUUGGGAUGAGCUCUUGCUGCACAAUUCAGAGCUGGGCCUGAAGUUUGAAUACUUCAGUUUCUGGUGUGUUUGGAGUUGAUGUUUGUUUAGCCAUUUACUCUAUUAUGAAAACUGGGACCAGCAUUUGAAUAAGGAAUUUUGCCCUCUGCCCUGGGUAUUUAGAUCUGGGGGGUUGGUUCAGGCCCAGCACUAGUGCAAAUUGUUUUUGCUUUUCAGUAAUGUGGGAUUUUGCUGGAUGUAACAGUAGUGCAAAACAUCCAAGGGCCAGGCCUAACUCAGGGUGUGCAUAGACUGCUGUUAGAGGUGUGAGUGCAGCACAUGGAGCCAGCCCUACCUAGCUCAAAUAACAAUAGCACUGAAGCCAUAUCCAGGGCCCUGACCAGGUGUGCAAAGCCCAUGCUAAGGCCACACUGCUAGCACUGUAGAAGUAUCCCAAGUCCUUACUCUCUCAAAUUCCCCACUGAAGUCGGGGGAGCUAAGUCUGCUCUUCCACUGGUUUUAAGUACCGUUACUCUCCCUGGGUUACUCCUCAUUUAUAGUGGUGGAAGUGGGGAUCAGGAUUUGGCCCAUUUUUCACUUUGUGACAGACGUGCUCUGAUCUCUUGUGCUCAGUCACCUUCCCAAAUCACAAGAAUCCCUGGUGAGACAUUCCAUGCUAACCUGACCUGCUUCUGUGCAGCAGUGGAAAUCACAUAAGUCUAAAGAUUCCUGCUCUCUUGUUCAUGUUUGAAAAUUCUCUGAAUUACUGGCAAUUUUGUGUGAAUACCUUUCCGAAAAGAGGAAACUCUCUAAAGGUUUUCAGUUGUCGUCUGUUUCUAAAUGACCCUGCUAUCUGCAUGCUGAGUCAGCUGUUUGUCAUGUACAGGGGUUAAGUAGCUGCAAUAUAAUCCUGCCUCAGGGUUAUUUCAUGUACAUCCCCUGUUCAGUGGUUUUGAAUUUCCCUAAAAUAUAUUCACAUAAAUUUAGGCAGCAAAGAGAAAAUCCCCCCACAGUGCAUGUUUGUGCUUAUGCUCCAUGACUUGGCCUCAAAUGUCAUUGCACCACUGGGAAAACGACCUUGAUCAUGAAAUACCACAGGCCUGUUUUUCUUUAUUUUUGUAAAACUUUUUCCAUGUGUAGGCAUAGAAUGUCUUCUGCAUAAUACUCACUCUGCACUGGAAUAUCUUUUGUAUCCUAGGUCAGGUGUGUGCUGGAAGCCACUGUCCAGUGUAUACUGUGGAGUGAGUGAUUUAGUCCAGUUCCCAUUCAAGUCAAUAAGAGCCUUUCCAUUGACUAUAUUAGGAGCUGAAUCCUUAGGCCCUCGCUCUGUUUUUAAUUGGGCAAAAUUCUCAUAGGUUAGGGUCGUUAUGAUUCAGUUUUUAUUCAGCCCUUGUUCAGGAAAACUUCCAUUGGCUCCUCAGAAUUAGGACCUCAGGAGCUGGCCCCCUGUAUGCAGACUCACAGUAAGCUUGCUGUAGGCUGGUGCUGUUAGUCCAUCUGUGACAAAUGACAUACCCCAUCAGUCCACCAGUAGUACUAUUUGUAACCCAGGGGUAGCCUGAGAGAUUCGUAUUUAUUGACCUUAGGUAAAAU